UCCCUGGGCAUGGACUCCACAGCUGGAAUGGCAGGGGCCUGGCAGCUCUCAUUCAUGCUCCUUCUGUCAGCUCACCAUGUAUUGCUGAAUUUGUGUGGGAUGUAUUUGAGUUGAAUGGGAAUUCAUUGAGAGUAAAUAGAUGAAGACUAUUGGUGUGACCUCCCAGAGACAGAAUGGACCUCCCCCCAAAAAUAUUUGGUUCUAAUGGCAAGACUGCUGAUGCCACACAUGCACCAAGAGGAGAUGAAGAGGUUUACGACUCACAGAAUGUCGCUUUCUGGUGAAAGGAGGGAAAGCUACCACAAGUUCAAAGAAAAGAAGAGCCAGGACAUGACAACAUGCAAAUCGAUAUGACCUACAGAUGACCUAAAAUGUCUUCACUGACACCUGCUGGUAGGCUCUGGAAUUGCAGAAAGAGUGGCUAAGAAGUGUUACCUCUCCUGGAAGACAUCGCUUGGAAAUUCUAAUCCACUUCCACAAGCACAAUUAUUGAGCUUCAGAAUGAAGAGCCCUUUCAUGUGUAAUAGAUGGUGGGAAAGGAAAAGUUGAAAGUCUGCUGGGAGCAUUUAAAAUGGAUAUUGAAUCGGGAUCUACAGCAUCAGGAAGUCUGGCUGACAAAGGUGACAUUGUCUGGUUUUGAUUUAGCGUGGAUCGAGACGUAGGGGACUGCAAUCGGAAAUUACUGGAGAAAUUGUGUCCACAAGGUCUUUCAGCCUUUAAUCUGUGCCUUCAGUGUCUGUUUGUCUUGAGGAUAAGUGGCAUUUUACAGCUGUCAACUUUCCUACAUCAUCCAUCACGGAGUGAAGUGCUAAAUCAACUCUGAGCCUGUUCCUUUAACGUGGAAUUGACUGCAGCCAGUAGUGCAAAAUUAUGGGGGAAAAAAAAUCCACCAAAUGGGAUUUCAUUUUAAAAUGCAGAUCCUAUUUGAAGAGCUUCACAAAGGAGCACUGCCUCUGACAAGUGGAGAAAAAUCUACCCUUCAAA
This is a non-coding RNA of Microcebus murinus (gray mouse lemur), 984 nucleotides long. Lineage: Eukaryota; Metazoa; Chordata; Mammalia; Primates; Cheirogaleidae. The record is from RefSeq and is a predicted model, not a curated record.